RNAcentral lists this ribosomal RNA (460 nucleotides) under uncultured bacterium. Its description in RNAcentral is "partial 16S ribosomal RNA". It matches the Rfam family "Bacterial small subunit ribosomal RNA", at positions 338 to 795 of the family's 1533-position model. The record is from RNAcentral.
CCUACGGGAGGCAGCAGUGAGGAAUAUUGGUCAAUGGGCGCAAGCCUGAACCAGCCAUGUCGCGUGCGGGAAGACGGCCCUAUGAGUUGUAAACUGCUUUUGUACGAGGGUAAACGCAGACACGCGUAUCUGUCUGAAAGUAUCGUACGAAUAAGGAUCGGCUAACUCUGUGCCAGCAGCCGCGGUAAUACGGAGGAUUCAAGCGUUAUCCGGAUUUAUUGGGUUUAAAGGGUGCGUAGGCGGUCGGAUAAGUUAGAGGUGAAAUCCCGAGGCUCAACUUCUGAAUUGCCGCUGAUACUGGUCGGCUAGAGAGUAGUUGAGGUAGGCGGAAUGUAUGGUGUAGCGGUGAAAUGCUUAGAGAUCAUACAGAACACCGAUUGCGAAGGCAGCUUACCAAGCUACUACUGACGUUGAGGCACGAAAGUGUGGGGAGCAAACAGGAUUAGAUACCCUAGUAGUC